Malaclemys terrapin pileata is the source of this 1026-nucleotide long non-coding RNA. RefSeq lists it as uncharacterized. The transcript is spliced from 3 exons. The record is from RefSeq and is a predicted model, not a curated record. NCBI's taxonomy places the organism in Eukaryota, Metazoa, Chordata, Testudines, Emydidae.
UAACGAUACUACACACUAACUGACCUCCAGAAAUGCCCCAUAAUUCCCUUAACUGAAGUGGCCGCUCUUGUCUUUGUUGUUAACUCAGGACCCGGAAGUGCCGUUUCAAAGCUCCAGAGAACGGCUGCUUAUCUGGUCAAACAAACAGCUUGUUUGCUUGUGUGUGAGUGAGAGAGAAGCAGGGGGCUCCCUUUGGAAGUGCUGACAGUUAAUGUUUGCUUAAGAACUCCUACUGCUCCUAACUGCUGCAGCAGGAACCAAGUUACCAAACAGACCUCUGGGCCAGAUCGACCUACCAGGACCCAGGCACUGAGAUAAGGGAAAACCCAUAUGUAACCCUGUCUUAAUUGGGCUGCCACCAUAGAGAAGACUUCUAUGAAUACUUUGGGCACUGUCAUCAGUCCAAAGGGGAGGACUCUGAACUGGAAAUGCUCUUGAGCCACUAGAAAUGAAGGAACUUUUUGUGGGAAAGUUGCAUAUCUACAUGGAAAUAAGGAUUCUUCACGUCAAGAGCCAUGAACCACAUUCUCUCCUGUCCUGAACUUUGACUUUUGAAUAAAACUGUUCACCUGUUGAGGGUCCAGAAUGGGUCUCCAACCUUUGUCUUUUCUGGGGACUUAGAAGUAAGGGGAAUAGAACCCAUUUUCCUUGACACUGAGGUGGUACUGCUUCAUUGUCCCUCGUAGGAGGAGGGAUGCCUGGCAAAGAAUCACCUUAGUACAAGGAUAAAAGCUGGAGAAACAUGUGGACACAGGGAUUCCAACUUAGGCCAUGCGGCGGUAAGAAGGAACUGGAGAGGUGUUGACCCACACUACCUCUUAUGUGCUGGGUCUGGUGCACAAGGUGAACUACUGUGCAUGUGUGGGCCAGCGAACACGGCUUGUUAGAAUUUCUGGCCUCUGGAGCUUAGCACGCAUGCACACCUACACAGAGACCAGCACCUAAAGAAGAAUUUCUGCAUACAACCUGGUUAAUGGUUUUCAGUCUAAAACUAGGUCAGUUUUAUUUUUACACUACUGAUCCUUU